Aquila chrysaetos chrysaetos is the source of this 5240-nucleotide RNA transcript. It is a transcript of the gene named NME/NM23 family member 5, with no coding region annotated. Lineage: Eukaryota; Metazoa; Chordata; Aves; Accipitriformes; Accipitridae. The record is from RefSeq and is a predicted model, not a curated record. The transcript has 7 exons.
CCCCUCUUCCAAAAAAAAAAAAAAAAAAGAGAACCAACAUAUCAUUCACUGCCUUGAAAUUGUUGAUGUAAUUUAUCCCUUUCCCACACCCUAUGUCCGUCUUGUCUCAAUUGAUUGUAAGCAUCUCAGGUCACGGACUACCUACUAUAUACAAAAUACUAUGCUAUAAGAAGGUUCUGUCUGAGUUAGUCUUUAUGCACAGUAUAAAUAAAUAAAUUUUAUUAAUAAUAAUAACUAUGUGAGUAAACCCACUGAUUUUAAUGGUACAGCUGACAGUAAGUGGUCAAAGUAAGUGUCAAAAGGAUGCCUUAUGCUACAUGGAAUUAAGAAGAAAAGAUGCAUUUAAGGAAGCAUUGACAAAACUUUAAAAAAACCCUUAUUUAACUGAUUGCCUCUUGUAAUUUGCCAAAUAAAAGAUUUUUAUUGGUUUAUUCUUACAGUCAUUUAUUCAUUGUGGAUAGUAUCACACUGAAUACUUAUCUCAGCUUAGUGGCCUCAGGGAUAAUCCAAGCCAGUAUUAUGUUAAACAUUAUGCAGAACAAUGAAAGAGCAAAUGAGCGCAAGUGUUUCUGCUCCAAAAAGUUAGGUAAAAGCCUAAUAUCUACAUGCGGUAGCUAUACAGAACAUCUAUAUACCGAUGAGGAGGAGCUUUAUAGAAAAUAAGUUGUCAAUGCCAACCUCUACAGGUGUUCAACAGGAGCUCAAAGUGGGAUAAAGCAGGAAGGUCUUUAUUUGAAAGUCCAUUAGUGGAGUUCAGUUGUACCAGCUGGCAGGAAACAGGAGAUACCCUUGCAGAGUGAAACAAAAGGUACAGUAGGACCAGAUCAGUGUGUGAAUGGGCUUGCAAUUGAAGACUAACAAUUUUGUGUGAUAGAGAAGACUCUCUUUGGAAAGGUGUGGAGAACUUACAUAGUUAAACUGAAGAACUAAGAAAAUCGUGUUGCAGAGCUUUCUGAAUGGAAGCAAAUGCUUUAUUUGUUGAGGCCAGAGGAAAGGAUGUCAACAAUAACUGAGGUGAGGAGAGCUUGAGCAAGAUUCCUAGCCAUGUCAAUAAAUAACAAAGAUCACGUCUCGGCUGACAUCUGCACAGCAGUUUAGACCAAUCUGAGCCCAAACCCCACAGUCCUGGCUGUAAGGUUCCACCUGCUCCUUUGCACAUUUGGCUGUAAAACGAUGGUACAUCAGGCAGAUGGUUUGUCUAACACAUGCUCAUUACCAAGGCUUUAAAUGCAAUGGAGACACCUGAAGUUUGAAAGGAGACAGUAGUAAGAGGCAAUCAUAUCUGUAUUUGCCCAUUAGGCUGUUGAGCUAUGAGCUAGAAGGGAUGGGAGGAGAGUCAAGAACGGUGCUCACCACUGCUCUUGCAGAAAAGGGAAAGAAACACAAGGUACAGUACUGACAAGCCAAGCUGAAAUAGUGAUUGGAGAAGCAACAGAUGAGAGUAAUUGCAAAAGCUAAGAUAGGGCACUAGCUAGCUAGGCCAAACGUGACUGAAGGCCAAAGAAGAGAUUGGUUUAAGUUGGGUUGAGAAGCUUUCAGAUGACAAGAGGAAGCAAAACCAAGUUUGUAGGGGAUUUAGGGUAGAACCAGACAAGAGGUGUGAUUGGAAGAUUUGUAAAAGUAAGAAGACAAGAGGUGCUUCUACCAAAGGCUUUUUUUUUUUUUUUUUUUUCCUAACAUAAGAGACAAGCAUAUCUGUGGGAGUGCUGGGGGGGUCAGAGCAGACUGAAUGACUAAAGCUGUGAACAAAUGAAAGAGUGGGUGGUGAGGAAGAUCAGGAAAUGAAAUAGGGUGAGGUUAAUAGGGCAAGCGAUGGAGUUACAGAAGAUGUGUAGGUAAGAUUUUUGUUAUUGCCACCUAGACACUUGUAGAAAGGGGAAGCAUCAAGAGAAUAUUUUGUUGAUUUUUAUCUCUGAAGAAAAUGGUCAGAUAGCAAGUAGAGGAAAGCAGAAAGGAAAGCUUGACAAGGGUUAGUCAGCAGCAAUGAAAAGCUAGCUAGGAUUACAGGCGUGCAGAUAAGCUGCAGAAGUAGAAUUGUUUAGCUGUAAGAAGGCAGAAAUGGAGGAGAGGGCAGGCUUGCAGGAAAGGAAGUUAGCUUGAUCACAGGAUUUCCGUCAGAGACACUUUGCGCUGCAAAAGCAAGCAUGGAUGAAGCAAGUGCUGAAGUGUCACCUCAAGGACCCACACGCAAUGGCCAGUUUCAGCUGAAUUCACCAGCAGGCCGGAGGCCUUAACGGCACCUCAGAUCCCACAAUUUUUGAGAAAGCGGCAAUAAGAGGAGAUGAGGCCCAAAGGAGAGAGGCACGGCUGCAGAGCGAGCUCAGUAGUUAUCAGCGCCGUCCGCCGGUCCACACCCCGAUAGUGCCGGGCCAGCUGGCAGGCGUUCAGCCCGGAGAGCCGGCCGCGGCACGCGCAGCCCUGCCCGGGGUAAACAGGGCGGCCAGGGAGGCGAUACCGGAGCACCCAACGCUUCGGCUUCCAGGGCACGGGCCGGGCUACGGCACAGAAGCUCACGUCGGAUGGAUGAUGGCUGCCCUGUAAUUGCUCCGAGCGGGAGCGACCCCGGGGAGACGGGGAAACAGGGAGCGCGCAGGGAGCAAGGGUGUUGGCACGACGGUGGUAAAAUCUCGUAGAAAUCCCCAGGGAGCGCGGCUUCCCCAGCUCUGUUUAUGGCUCACCUCAUUAUGGUUUAACUCGGAAAACAGUGACUGUUUCUUACUCAUUACACGUUUGGUUUUGUGACAAAAGUUAAGUAGCACUGGAUAGACACUGUAAUUCAAUAAAAAAUGCUGAAAAACACUAUCAGAGAGCUGUAGAUUCAGGUUACUACGUCUGGUAUGCUGGAAGGCUGCGUACUCUAAGCUCCAGAUCCCACUGACGGUGAUCGGGCAUGUAAACAGGAAACCUCGGCACGCUCCCACAAUAAAUACUGAUAUUUAAAUAACCUGAAGAAUGGCUUGUGUGCUUAGUCCUUUUCCAAUAAGCAGCGUUACCUCAGUUUAUGAACGUUUACGGUGUGAUCAUGCUUCCCUCAGCAGUCCUGAGUGUGAGAGGCCGCAGGCUGUUCAGCCAAAUUUGAAAGCCAAGGAGAAGUCUCGAAGGUAUAGGUGCAGAAAAGAUCAUCCCGACCAAGGCGGCAGUACAAAAGGAGUACGUGAAUUCUAAUUCAGAAGCCAAGAUGCAGAUGCUAAUGCCCGAACCUCAGAUUUUUGUGGAAAGAACUCUGGCCCUCAUCAAACCAGAUGUUGUUGAUAAAGAAGAAGAAAUAGAGGAUCUCAUUCUCCGAUCAGGAUUCCUGAUCGUUCAGCUUAAGAGCAAUCUAUGGGACUGAUGAUCUGAGGAAUGCACUUCACGGCAGUCUCAGCAUUUCCUCAGCAGAAAGAGAAAUUCGAUUCAUGUUUCCAGAAGUGAUCUUGGAGCCAAUUCCAGCUGGACAAAGAGCUAGGGAUUACUUGAACCUUUAUGUAAAGCCUACAUUAUUAGCUGGGCUCACUGCACUGUGUAAAGAGAAGCCAGCAGAUCCAAUGAUUUGGCUUGCUGACUGGUUGAUUGAACACAAUCCUAAUAAACCUAGGCUACAACAUCACAUCCCUCAGGAAGAGCAUCAGGGGUGAGAGCUCAGUGGAAACCAUCUCAAGCAUUCCAAGUUACAGACACUGGAAAGCAUAAUACGUGUAUCCCUUGGCUAUGUAAUCAAUAUUAUCUGAAGUAAAUGUUAUUGUCAUGACUACCUGUAUCCUCUUGGGAUAAAUAACCUUACACUUAAUCAGCAUGUAAUAGUUCCAGUAGCUUUUCUAUUGACAAAGUGAAUGUAGAAUUACAUGAUAAAUUUAUGGUGUCAGGUGAGUAUAAAAAGACAAAAUUCUCAACAGGUGUGACUUAACUGCUAUUUUCCCCCAUUUAUCUUGGUUUGGCUGUCUGGGGAGAACAAAAUUAUUUAUACCAGAGCAGAUUCCCAAAUGACAUACAGCUGGCCUGUGCUUUGUGAAACUAAGACUUGUGUUUCAGCAUUUUUUUAGCAGACACAAAUUCCAUUAUGGAGGGAGGUACUUGGAUGUAACUUAGAAAACAAUUACUGGAGGCAUAUUAGUAACUUUAGAAUUUUAAUUGCUGAUUACAUCACUGAGCUAAGGUCUCUUGAAGAUGAUUCCCUUGAGCCUGAUGUAUUUUGUCAGAAUAUAAUUUGAAGGACUUAUUUGAAGGUCCCAUCUCAGUGGUGAAAAGCACUGUGGUUAUAAAUCAGUGUUUGAUUUCCAUUAGAAGUCACAAGAAGGUGUAUUUUAGUCAAGGACUAAAGCUGUCUUCCAACAUUUGUUUGAAAGAAAGGUGCUUAAUUGGAAUAGCUCACCUUAAGGGUGUUUUCUGUGUUCUCCUGCUGUUAAAAGGUAUGCUGAUUUCUGUUGUUUUCCUUGUAUCGUUGUUUACCCUUGAACUUUAAUGUGUUCUAUUUGAGAAUUUUGAGAGAAUGGGUUAGGGGCCAUGCUAUUCAACAGGCACUAUUACGUUUUCUAAAGUAACUGGACUGUUUUGGGGGGGGGGGGGGGGGGGGGGGCAGCAUGGGUCUUUUUAAUUUUCUUCAGAGAGCUGUACUUGCACUGUUAACUUCAAGCUUUGUAUCUUAUGGUUUGACUGGCUAGGCUGGAGAAACCAAUGUCAUUUUCACAACUCUGAAAUAUUAGUAUGCUUGACUAUUACUAAACAAACAAGUAAUUUCAUAAUUUGUUUCAUGAAAAAACUUGCUCCCCCAGCUUGAGUAAUUACGAGAAACAUAAGUCAUUUGUCUGUAACAUUAAACUUUGUUUAAGCUAAUUGUUUAUCUUCUCAGUGGAAUAAACCACUAGUGCUAGCCCAGAGAAUAAACAUUUAGAAAACUGGUCCCUACAGUACCAAGACCUAAGAAUAUUGGGACUUUUAGGAUGAGGGAAAAAAAAAGCAGCAAGCCCAAAUCCUCAAAUAUGAAGAAAAAAAUAUUAGGUGGUUAGAAACACAGUAAAUAAAUCCAUUUACAACUAAUUUAUUUUGCCUAUAAUUAUUGUCACCAUGUAUGUCUGCUCCAUUUACAGGACAGUUGUACUUUGUGGUUUCCUGUAAGCCAAACCAAAACUUUCUUUUUUGAAGAUGUCAGAAACUAAAAUUGGGUGAAUUCACAAGAUAUUCACCUGUAUUUUGUUAGUUACUAUGGCAUUUUCUUUCUUACUUUGCUGUGAUACUGCUUGACAAUAAAUAUCUGCUUUACUUUA